Molecule: ribosomal RNA, 253 nt
Filed under: uncultured bacterium
Lineage: Bacteria
Description: partial 16S ribosomal RNA
Rfam family: Bacterial small subunit ribosomal RNA
Source: RNAcentral
UACGUAGGGACCAAGCGUUGUUCGGAUUUACUGGGCGUAAAGGGCGCGUAGGCGGCAAUUCAAGUCAGCUGUGAAAUCUCCGGGCUUAACUCGGAACGGUCAGCUGAUACUGCUUUGCUAGAGUGCAGAAGGGGCAAUCGGAAUUCUUGGUGUAGCGGUGAAAUGCGUAGAUAUCAAGAGGAACACCUGAGGUGAAGACGGGUUGCUGGGCUGACACUGACGCUGAGGCGCGAAGGCCAGGGGAGCAAACGGG